Molecule: ribosomal RNA, 337 nt
Filed under: Proteus mirabilis
Lineage: Bacteria; Pseudomonadati; Pseudomonadota; Gammaproteobacteria; Enterobacterales; Morganellaceae
Description: partial 23S ribosomal RNA
Rfam family: Bacterial large subunit ribosomal RNA
Source: RNAcentral
CUCCCCGAAAGCUAUUUAGGUAGCGCCUCGUGAACUCAUCUUCGGGGGUAGAGCACUGUUUCGACUAGGGGGUCAUCCCGACUUACCAACUCGAUGCAAACUGCGAAUACCGAAGAAUGUUAUCACGGGAGACACACGGCGGGUGCUAACGUCCGUCGUGAAGAGGGAAACAACCCAGACCGCCAGCUAAGGUCCCAAAGUCAUGGUUAAGUGGGAAACGAAGUGGGAAGGCUCAGACAGCCAGGAUGUUGGCUUAGAAGCAGCCAUCAUUUAAAGAAAGCGUAAUAGCUCACUGGUCGAGUCGGCCCGCGCGGAAGAUGUAACGGGGCUAAACCAU